This 346-nucleotide long non-coding RNA is filed under the name Sinocyclocheilus grahami. Its description in RNAcentral is "lncRNA (ENSSGRG00000008354.1)". Lineage: Eukaryota; Metazoa; Chordata; Actinopteri; Cypriniformes; Cyprinidae. The record is from RNAcentral.
GUUUUGAUUGUAGUGCAUUUCCGAUGAUUUUUCCCAACUAAAUUUCUAAAAAUGUUGCAGAUGAAGAAGCCUCCUCUUCUUAAAGUGCCGCCGCUGUCCCACCGAGACUCAAAGGUGAGCGACUGCUUUCUUCUGAACUCACCGUUUAAGCGUCAGGAUUUUGAUGAUAUUGUCAUGGAUGUCUCCAGAGCUUGGAAGAUGACGAGUUCCCUCGGAAGGGUGCAGAUCUGUUCAAGGCGGGAGACGUGGAGCUGGCGGAGGACGCAGGCUGGGAGGAAUACACGCCGACUGAAGACAUGAAGGAGUUUCCUGAAGAGUUUCUGGAUCCUCCAGGGGCCACGGCUGG